GGACUACAGCUCAGUGGUAGAGCAUUUGCUUUGCAUGCAGAAUGUUCCAGGUGCAAAUGUUGGCAUCUCCA
Molecule: non-coding RNA, 71 nt
Organism: Podarcis lilfordi (Lilford's wall lizard)
Lineage: Eukaryota; Metazoa; Chordata; Lepidosauria; Squamata; Lacertidae
Source: the annotation of a GenBank genome assembly